AACGAACGCUGGCGGCAGGCCUAACACAUGCAAGUCGAACGGUGAGCAGCAAUGUUCAUAGUGGCGACCGGGUGCGUAACACGUGGCUGACCUGCCCUGUGACGGGGGAUAACGUCCCGAAAGGGAUGCUAAUACCGCGUAAGUUCGCUGAGUUUAGAAGUUAGCGAGGAAAGGCACUUCGGUGUCGUCACAGGAGGGGG
This 200-nucleotide ribosomal RNA is filed under the name uncultured bacterium. RNAcentral describes it as "partial 16S ribosomal RNA". It matches the Rfam family "Bacterial small subunit ribosomal RNA", at positions 29 to 230 of the family's 1533-position model. The record is from RNAcentral.